CAAAGCGUAGCUUAACUAAAGCACCCGGCCUACACCCGGAAGAUUUCAGACACACUGACCACUUUGA
This 67-nucleotide transfer RNA is filed under the name Calyptophractus retusus (Greater fairy armadillo). RNAcentral describes it as "tRNA-Val". Lineage: Eukaryota; Metazoa; Chordata; Mammalia; Cingulata; Chlamyphoridae. The record is from RNAcentral.